This 289-nucleotide long non-coding RNA is filed under the name Ursus maritimus (polar bear). Its description in RNAcentral is "lncRNA (ENSUMAG00000023692.1)". Lineage: Eukaryota; Metazoa; Chordata; Mammalia; Carnivora; Ursidae. The record is from RNAcentral.
AGGUUCCUAUGGACUUAUAUUCCAUUCUUCAAAUAAAUGCCAGAAAGUAUUGUUUUACAGAAUUCUAUAAAUCUGAAGACUAAGCUUUAAAAAAAAUCAUCAGAGGAAAGGAAUUUGUAGAAAUAAAACUGGAAACAUCCAGAAUCUUGAUGGUGUGCCAAACCAGAUGUCAACUGGAGCUCAACCAAAACCUAAAAUUCCUUAAUGACUUCUCUCCCGACAUGCUAUAUUUGUUAAAGAAACAAAUAUAUACUGGGCUCCAGAAAUACAUGCGUGGGUUGUUUUUUUU